Brassica napus (rape) is the source of this 1644-nucleotide long non-coding RNA. RefSeq lists it as uncharacterized. The transcript has 5 exons. The record is from RefSeq and is a predicted model, not a curated record. NCBI's taxonomy places the organism in Eukaryota, Viridiplantae, Streptophyta, Magnoliopsida, Brassicales, Brassicaceae.
ACUACUAAAAGCCGAAUACGCAGAGCAUACAGCGUGCCACGUCAGAUUUUUUAUUCAGGCCAAUGAAAAAGCUUUUAUUUGCCACAUAUACAUUCCUUUACGCAGCAUAAAAUUUACACGGGCUAUGGCCUGUUAAUAUUUUGUUGUAGCCAUAAGCCCAACUCUCUUUCUUCACCCAAUGACCGUCGAUAUCGUUUUGCCUCUUCCACUUCUCCAUGGUAUUGCCGAUUGAUUUCUGCAACUCUCUGUUUCGUUGAAGUUAUAACUAUUAAGUAUUUACUCUCAAUCAUCCAAUCCUUUAUUUAUUCAUAUCUUAAUUUCAGCUUAACCCACCUUCUUCAUCCCUUAUUCAAGUUCGUACAGCCUCUAGAAUACCUCUUCAAAUUCCUAUUGCUAUCUUCGUCUUUAAAAAUUCGUGCAAAUACUAUUGGAUCGACUGUGAUAUCAAAAGUAAGCCAAAAGACAUGGCAAGUUGCAUACAGUCUCAAUCAAUCUGUGCUGAAAUGCUCUGUGGAUGUCUUUUACAACAUGGUUUGCGUAACACUGAGAAUGUACUUGAUGUGUUCCAGCUUGCGCUGCUAUGUGGUUUCCCUCGGCUUAGCGUCAUAUCUCACCAUAUGAUCAUGAAACACUUCAAGCAGCUUUGUGCUACAGAAGCAUGGAUAUUUAUGCAGAGCCGUCCCUUUCUCGAGGAAAAAAAAACUUAAAAGGCUCUGUCAUCAUCGAAGAAAGUCUUUUCUCAAUACAAAUUAACAGGGUGCUCGCGGGGUUCUUCAAAAGUGGAACAAGAUUGAGGCAAGGCUAAAAGCCACAUCUCAUUUUUGAGAACGAAGGUUUUAGCUUCCUGUCCAAAACACGUUUUGCUUAUUCUAUCAAAAUUGUAGAAAAAAUGACUCUCAAUUUGUUUGUGUAGUAUUAUAAUCCUGAUAAUGAGAAGGUGGAACCCACUGUUGCUACGAUUCUCAAAGGAAGUGAUAAUUUUUUUUGUUUAUGUUCAUUAGUAAGUAUCUGAUAGUAUAUAUUAUAUCCAUAAGAUGUAAAAUGAUUAGCCCACUGAUCGACCUAGACUGUUUUGUUUCUUAUAUUCUUAAGGGUCUUCCAUUUGAGCUAUAAUAACAUGCUUCUAAAUCAGUUGUGGAGUGAAAAUGGUAAUAUUAAGAAUCUUCUCAGCAAUUCUUUCUUUCAGCUUCAAGCUAAUCGUGCUAUUACUGAUAUACAGAAUCAAGUAAAACCCUUGAAAGAAGUGAGAGAAGUUAUGGUCAAAGCUUACCAGAAGGUUAGCUCCUGAGAGUUUCUAAAAUAUAUUGUCAGAAAUCUACUCUAAACAGCCAUUCUUCCAUCAUAUACGUGAACAAUUCUUCCUGAUAGUAGAAGACAAGAGGAUGCAAACUUCAACGUAGAUUUACCGACUGAUGUUAAUGGUGCUGAUAAAAAAAAAUUAAGGCAUGUGCCACUUAAGGAACUUGGUGAGCCCGUUGUCGUCUAUGUUCCUUUAUCUCAGGUCACAUGGGUGCUGUGUUUAUAUGGUCUACACAAUCUUAUGCUGCUUAUACUCCUUCGAUUCUACUCUUGAUGAUCUUAUUCUUAUAAUCAUGUGCAAAUUAAGAGUUUAAGUACAAUUGGAAGCUCGAGAGUUUAAUGUUA